This 373-nucleotide ribosomal RNA is filed under the name uncultured bacterium. RNAcentral describes it as "bacterial SSU rRNA". It matches the Rfam family "Bacterial small subunit ribosomal RNA", at positions 28 to 402 of the family's 1533-position model. The record is from RNAcentral.
GACGAACGCUGGCGGCGUGCUUAACACAUGCAAGUCGAGCGGUAAGGCCCUCUUGGGGGUACACGAGCGGCGAACGGGUGAGUAACACGUGGGUGACCUGCCCUCAGCUCUGGGAUAAGCCUGGGAAACUGGGUCUAAUACUGGAUAUGACCUUUCCUCGCAUGGGGUUGGGUGGAAAGUUUUUCGGCUGGGGAGUGGGCCCGCGGCCUAUCAGCGUGUUGGUGGGGUGAUGGCCUACCAAGGCGACGACGGGUAGCCGGCCUGAGAGGGCGACCGGCCACACUGGGACUGAGACACGGCCCAGACUCCUACGGGAGGCAGCAGUGGGGAAGUAUUGCGCAAUGGGCGGAAGCCUGACGCAGCGACGCCGCGU